GUCGCACCACGUGGCGAUUUGUGAACCGGAUUGCGGGCCACGCUAAACAACCCGCUAAAGAGGUCGAGGCGUGCGCCCA
Molecule: non-coding RNA, 79 nt
Filed under: Paracoccaceae bacterium
Lineage: Bacteria; Pseudomonadati; Pseudomonadota; Alphaproteobacteria; Rhodobacterales; Paracoccaceae
Source: RNAcentral